AAGAAACUAUGGCGACCCAAGGAGAAAACGAAACAACCGACAGAACGCGGCAAAUCUCAGGACACAUAAAUGGACCCACCUUCCCAGAGCACCUCGUCAACCAGUCAAGGGGAUCCAGCAGGAAACAUUACACCACCUAAUGGAGGUGGCUUUUCAGGUGCAAAUUUACUUCUAUUUGAAAGCCUGGAGGAGUUCCUUUUUACAAAUUACGGCUUGUUUAACCAAAAAAUGCCUAAUAUGCAAAAUGCAAAUAAAUGCAAGAUAUCAGCAGAAAAACUAUGAUUCGCACUGUCGCCUUCAAUGAAUUUUUUAAAUUAGCCCCUUCAUGAAUUAAGUUUGCAAACCCAACAGUGGUGAUAGUGGCAUUUUCAAGCGUGAAUGUAUUUUAAUUGUCUGUAUCAAGAAUUCAACAGAUUUUAGGAAUCUGGGUUCUUUUAUAAGAAUAAAGAGAAAAA
This is a long non-coding RNA of Stylophora pistillata, 455 nucleotides long. The record is from RefSeq and is a predicted model, not a curated record. NCBI's taxonomy places the organism in Eukaryota, Metazoa, Cnidaria, Anthozoa, Scleractinia, Pocilloporidae.